Molecule: ribosomal RNA, 452 nt
Filed under: uncultured soil bacterium
Lineage: Bacteria
Description: bacterial SSU rRNA
Rfam family: Bacterial small subunit ribosomal RNA
Source: RNAcentral
AGAGCGAACGCUGGCGGCAGGCCUAAUACAUGCAAGUCGAGCGGUCCCUUCGGGGGCAGCGGCGGACGGGUGAGUAACGCGUGGGAACGUGCCCUUUGGUACGGAACAACUGAGGGAAACUUCAGCUAAUUCCGUAUGUGCCCUUCGGGGGAAAGAUUUAUCGCCAUUGGAGCGGCCCGCGUUGGAUUAGGUAGUUGGUGAGGUAAAGGCUCACCAAGCCUACGAUCCAUAGCUGGUCUGAGAGGAUGAUCAGCCACACUGGGACUGAGACACGGCCCAGACUCCUACGGGAGCAGCAGUAGGGAAUCUUGCGCAAUGGGCGAAAGCCUGACGCAGGCCAAUGCCGCGUGAAUGAAUGAAGGUCUUAGGAUUGUAAAAAUUCUUUACACCGGGGACGAUAAUGACGGUACCCGGAGAAGAAGCCCCGGACUAACUUACGCGCCAGCAGCCGC